GAUAGAGCCACCGGAAGUCAGUUCUCUCUCCCUCUGUACGGAGUGUUGCGGAUAUGAAGUUAGAAUUGCUGCAGACAUCUAACCACCAGGACAGAAGCGAGCUAAGGAUGAAAUUCAACCACAGAGGGCAGACUGGAAAGAAAUGGGUUCUUGCCAUCACUGAACUGCUAAAUCAAAACUCAUUCUAGUUAUGUAAGCUAAUAAAAAAUUCUCUUUCGUAUGAGCCAGUCUACACUGGGUUUCUCUCUCUUGCAUAAGAGCCCUAACUGAUAUAACAUCCUGUGCAGCUAAUGAGGACUUCUAAUGCAGCUGCCGGCUUCACCACAUGACCAGCCCAUUCUUCUCCAUUUCCUCAAGCUCCCCGCCCAACAAAGGCCAGGGCAUAGUCUGGAAGCCCCUCUCCUGCGAGGCCAAGGCUCGCCUGUGCAAUGGCAAAGGCACCUGUAACUGAACACUCUCGGGGUCCACCACCCACAUGUAGCAAACACUUGUUCAUAAGCUGGAAAUGAAGAAAUGUUUCUUGUCAAGUUCUUAAGGCCUCCUUGCUGCUGGUAGCAACCCCCAGCGGGUCCUCUGUAAGGUGGGCAGGACACACUGGAGAACAAGCAGAAUGAACCGCUGCAACAGCUGCUGGAGGAGCCACUGCACCUGGAAGUCUGGGCCGGUGUGUGGCCCACGUCCCACCAAGCAGCAGGGGUGGC
Myotis davidii is the source of this 701-nucleotide long non-coding RNA. RefSeq lists it as uncharacterized. The transcript has 3 exons. NCBI's taxonomy places the organism in Eukaryota, Metazoa, Chordata, Mammalia, Chiroptera, Vespertilionidae. The record is from RefSeq and is a predicted model, not a curated record.